Molecule: long non-coding RNA, 1104 nt
Filed under: Homo sapiens (human)
Lineage: Eukaryota; Metazoa; Chordata; Mammalia; Primates; Hominidae
Description: HSALNT0264525
Source: RNAcentral
AAGGUGCCUUGCUUCUCCCUUGCCUUCUGCAAUGAUGGACAUGCACCUUGGACCCUGAGCUGAAAUGAAAGAAGUCUGGUUACACUAAGGCCACCAUGCUGGAGAAAUCACCUGGACAGACCACAUAGAGAUAGAAAUUAAAGCCUGAGGUGCCUCAGAUGUUCCAGCCCCUAGUUGUUUACAUUUCUGAAGCCCUGGCACCAGACAUGUAAGUGAUGAAGGCAUCAAGAUGACUCUAACACUGCAACUUCAUGAGGGACCCUGAGCCAGAACCACCUCACCGAGUUGAUCCUGAAUUCUUGACCCACAGAAACCAUGAGAGAUAAAAGAACAAUGAUUGUAGUUUUAAGCCACUCAUUUUUUAGAUGAUCUGCUACAGAGCAAUGGGUGACUAUCACCUAUUGUAGUAGAAUGAGCUUCCUGGUGAUCAGGAAGUUAAAAAGAAUGGGUAAGACUUUACACACUGUCUUUUAUAGAUUCUCAUGCCCACAAUAUCUGAUCCAAUGUUUCAUAGUUUGAUACAUCUGAUUAUCAGCUCCUCCUCCUGUGGGAGAAGUAAGUAACAGGGUGCAGGUACACAGUUGAAAUACUGUUGUGGAGAGUGGUGGACUCUACUGAAUUAGGUCUUGGGGGCUAUAUAUCAGAAACACUCAAGGUGUGGGAGAACACUAAUAUUCUCUGAGGGGAAACACAAUCAAUUUUCUUUAAGCAUAUGCUGAGUAGCAAGUUUCCAAAACACAGACUCUUUGGGGUAAACAAGAACAAUGGUUUCAGUGAAUUGAGAUAGAAUGAAGAUGACUAGAAAGCAAGCUUUGGGAGAUUGGUACAAGAAUGGUGAUAGGCUUUGAUUCACGAUUUUGCUUUGACCGGCCCCAUUUGUCAUUUAUUUGAAGAAAAUUUGAAGAAACAAUUGUUUUGCAUGGUGUUGAAAUCUCUGUUGAUACAAGCUCCUUUUCUGCAUUCACCAAGUUCUCUGUGCUCACCACCUUUGGGUUUGAUUUGCCAAUGGGAGGACACUUUUAAGCUCUAAGGCAGAAUGUUACCUUUCCAUAUAUUUGCUCCAAAUUUACAUUCUCACAUUUGAGUGAAAAAUAAAAAGAAAAA